CUCGUAGCUUGCUAUGAGAACAAUUAGUGGCAGACGGGUGAGUAAUGCAUAGGAAUCUACCUAGUAGUAUAGGAUAGCCACUAGAAGUGGUGGGUAAUACUGUAUAAUCCCUGCGGGGGAAAGAUUUAUCGCUACAUGAUGAGCCUAUGUUAGAUUAGCUAGUUGGUGGGGUAAUGGCCUACCAAGGCAGUGAUCUAUAGCUGGUCUGAGAGGAUGAUCAGCCACACUGGAACUGAGACACGGUCCAGACUCCUACGGGAGGCAGCAGUGGGGAAUAUUGGACAAUGGGCGCAAGCCUGAUCCAGCUAUGCCGCGUGAGUGAGGAAGGCCUUAGGGUUGUAAAACUCUUUCAGUGGGGAGGAUAAUGACGGUACCCACAGAAGAAGUCCCGGCAAACUCCGUGCCAGCAGCCGCGGUAAUACGGAGGGGGCAAGCGUUGUUCGGAAUUAUUGGGCGUAAAGGGCAUGUAGGUGGUUUGGUAAGUUAAAGGUGAAAUGCCAGGGCUUAACCCUGGAGCUGCUUUUAAUACUGCCAGACUGGAGUCCGGGAGA
RNAcentral lists this ribosomal RNA (551 nucleotides) under uncultured Anaplasma sp. RNAcentral's name for it is "bacterial SSU rRNA". It matches the Rfam family "Bacterial small subunit ribosomal RNA", at positions 72 to 655 of the family's 1533-position model. Lineage: Bacteria; Pseudomonadati; Pseudomonadota; Alphaproteobacteria; Rickettsiales; Anaplasmataceae. The record is from RNAcentral.